This 510-nucleotide ribosomal RNA is filed under the name Micrococcus luteus. Its description in RNAcentral is "bacterial SSU rRNA". It matches the Rfam family "Bacterial small subunit ribosomal RNA", at positions 265 to 787 of the family's 1533-position model. Lineage: Bacteria; Bacillati; Actinomycetota; Actinomycetes; Micrococcales; Micrococcaceae. The record is from RNAcentral.
UCACCAAGGCGACGACGGGUAGCCGGCCUGAGAGGGUGACCGGCCACACUGGGACUGAGACACGGCCCAGACUCCUACGGGAGGCAGCAGUGGGGAAUAUUGCACAAUGGGCGAAAGCCUGAUGCAGCGACGCCGCGUGAGGGAUGACGGCCUUCGGGUUGUAAACCUCUUUCAGUAGGGAAGAAGCGAAAGUGACGGUACCUGCAGAAGAAGCACCGGCUAACUACGUGCCAGCAGCCGCGGUAAUACGUAGGGUGCGAGCGUUAUCCGGAAUUAUUGGGCGUAAAGAGCUCGUAGGCGGUUUGUCGCGUCUGUCGUGAAAGUCCGGGGCUUAACCCCGGAUCUGCGGUGGGUACGGGCAGACUAGAGUGCAGUAGGGGAGACUGGAAUUCCUGGUGUAGCGGUGGAAUGCGCAGAUAUCAGGAGGAACACCGAUGGCGAAGGCAGGUCUCUGGGCUGUAACUGACGCUGAGGAGCGAAAGCAUGGGGAGCGAACAGGAUUAGAUACCC